Molecule: long non-coding RNA, 113 nt
Organism: Nothoprocta perdicaria
Lineage: Eukaryota; Metazoa; Chordata; Aves; Tinamiformes; Tinamidae
Exons: 2
Source: RefSeq, a predicted model, not a curated record
AAGCUCAAGCAGCGCAAGUCGGGCCGCUCGGCCGGCAAGUACGACGUCUACCUGAUCAAGGCAAAGCCUUCCGCUCCAAGGUGGAGCUCAUCGCCUACUUCGAGAAGGUGGGC